Molecule: transfer RNA, 86 nt
Filed under: Candidatus Aenigmatarchaeota archaeon
Lineage: Archaea; Nanobdellati; Candidatus Aenigmatarchaeota
Also listed under: 1 other name
Description: tRNA-Leu
Rfam family: tRNA
About the family: Transfer RNA (tRNA) molecules are approximately 80 nucleotides in length. Their secondary structure includes four short double-helical elements and three loops (D, anti-codon, and T loops).
Source: RNAcentral
GCAGGGGUAGCCAAGUCUGGUCUAAGGCGUAAGGCUUAGGACCUUAUGGGUUAGUCCCUUCGUCGGUUCAAAUCCGGCCCCCUGCA